UCUCUCUCUCUCACCCAAAUCCCUCUCCUGUCUCUCUGUCGCCCUAAUCCCCUUCCUCUCCUCUCUCUCUUCAUCUCGAUCUCUCACCCUCCUCUCUCUUUCGGCUACCUUGGGCUCUCUCCACCCGCAACAACUCGAUAACCCAUCAGGUGUACCUACUUUUAGAAUUGCGCAUGAUCUCUAAAGAGAGACUCCAAACAUUAGUGAAUGUGGAAGAAUCAAAGGAUGUACCUGCUAUGAGGAUGGUGAUGUCAAAAUGGCAGAUGCCACAACGGCAAAGACUGAAAAAGAGAGGAAUUCUUCAAAGGUGCUGGUGAAGUUGUUGAUGUCUGAUUUGCAUCAAAUGAAGAGGGUGUCUUCGAGGGAUUCAGCCAUGUUGAGUUUGCCACUGGGGCAACAGCUCACAAGAUAUGUUUUUUUUUUUUUUUCUGAGAUACCUGUGUUAUGUCAACAUGAAACUGUUGGUAGCAUCGGCUGGAUUUACUGUUGUAGAGUUGUCUUGUUAUUUAGUCAUCUAAGUUUCAGGUGUCCGGUUGCCAAGUAAAUUGUUAUUCAAAUUGCUUUGGAUUUCAUGGUCAUCUACAACAGCCUUGUUGCUUUUGCCACAUCACUCAUGUUAAGGGCCAUGUGUGCUGAAAUUGAUAUGGUUUUCUUGGUGCAUGCAUAUGCACUCCUGGUUUUUUGUUGUUCCUUUACAUGGGUAAGGUUCCUUGUUUGUUUGAUUUUUGAUUUUUUCUUGUUUUGUCUUCAUAGGGCCAAUGUUCCUUGUUUGUUUGAUUAGUACCCAUUAAAAAGAGACCAAGCAAACUAUAUGCAAACUUUUGGUGCAUGAUCC
Magnolia sinica is the source of this 835-nucleotide long non-coding RNA. RefSeq lists it as uncharacterized. Lineage: Eukaryota; Viridiplantae; Streptophyta; Magnoliopsida; Magnoliales; Magnoliaceae. The record is from RefSeq and is a predicted model, not a curated record. The transcript is spliced from 4 exons.